This is a non-coding RNA of Erpetoichthys calabaricus (reedfish), 1186 nucleotides long. The record is from the annotation of a RefSeq genome assembly. Lineage: Eukaryota; Metazoa; Chordata; Cladistia; Polypteriformes; Polypteridae.
UUGAUAAAAGUGAAACUGUUCAGCAGAACAUAUGUUAAAAUGCUACCCACACAUUCAAGUGCAUCUCUCUUAGUGUCUUCUGGUUUCUUCCCCUUUAGGAUUUGCAUACAGGCUCCUCCCCUCCAUUCCUGACUGCUCUGCUGCUCAGGAUUUAAAGAGCAGAGAUGAUGUGAAGCUGUCAUUUCAGCCCCUCCUUCACUUUGAUACUGACUGACAAUGGCUCCCUGGUUCCUGCUUGUGACAAAGCUUUUGUUCCUGCUAUCACAAGAAUCCAGCAGUCAAAUUAUAAUGACGCAGUCCCCUGCAACUGUAUCUCCUCAAUCCGGACAAACAGUUAAGAUGCACUGUAAAGCCAGCAGCUCCAUUAGCUCUGGGGGUACUAACUACCUGGCCUGGUACCAGCAGAGAUCAGGAGAAGCUCCCAAACUUCUGAUUUACUACGCAACCUCUCGAGUGUCUGGUAUCUCAAGUCGGUUCAGUGGCAGUGGCUCUGGCCUCGAUUAUACUCUGACCAUCAGUGACAUGCAGCCAGAAGAUGCUGGACAUUACUACUGUCAGCAGGGCUAUAGCUCUCACACAGUGAUUUAGAGUCAUACAAAAACCUAAUCACCUCAUUGGCAAAGCAGCAAACCCUGCAGGUGCUGAGAGGGAAGUCACUGAGUUGAGCAAUUUCAAGUAUCCACAGACACAGUGUAAAACAGUAAAACAUAUUCAAACCAGUACACAAAUACAAGACCCAGAGCUGUACACACAGUAUUACCAGUGUUCACUUUAGAAACCUUGCUAACCUUUACUACCUUUACAUUGUCCCUGUAGAAAUAUCACCCAUAUGCUAGGGUUUCUGUUUUAACUGGCAAGACUAAAUGGAAUAUGUAAAAAGAGUAGACACCCUAGUUGAAUUUCUCCAUUUCCAGAUUACACAAAGGAGGUCAAAACUUUAAAAUGGUGUGUUUAUGAAAUAUAACUUACACAAAGGGAGAACUGAAGAUAAGAGGAAUAUUCUUGAGCCUACAUAUACAAGACUUAGGCCCUGUCUAUCCAGUGAAAUGACUCACCCACUUGCUCACCUACCACUUACUGUACUACCAAGCAGUCCCUUUCCCACAUUUCACAUACUUCGGCUUGUUCCUCUCCCAGUGAGCCUCCUUCUCAGAUUCUCACAAUUCCAAAUCAAUGUGCCCUCUGA